Long non-coding RNA from Artibeus jamaicensis (Jamaican fruit-eating bat), 1217 nucleotides. RefSeq lists it as uncharacterized. The record is from RefSeq and is a predicted model, not a curated record. NCBI's taxonomy places the organism in Eukaryota, Metazoa, Chordata, Mammalia, Chiroptera, Phyllostomidae. The transcript is spliced from 6 exons.
UUCCGGCGGAAGGUGGACUCUGGGCUUAGGGACCUCCGCGGCCCACCCUUCCCUGCAGAAACUAUGGGUAGGACUUUGCUAAGACGCGCGAGUCUGAAUGAGGUGGAGGACGAUCCUGCAAAACGGCAUAAACUUUAAUAAAAAGACGGGUUCAACUGCCGAGAGCCAACCCUUCCCCACAAGGGCAGCCCAGGCCGGCCAGUCUCCCCAACAACGGAAGGACGUCCCCAAGGCGGUCUUCUGACGGCGACAGCCCCGUGCCUUGGGCACUCGGCUCCUCUGGGUAAACCAGCUCGGUCUCCGUCGCAGCUACUCAACCCCAGCACCAUGAAAACAGACAUAGACAGACAACCUGCACAUACCUGCGCAACCUGUGAGAUGGCCCGAGAGCCUGAAGGUGCCAACCGUCCCCGGGGGUCACGGACCCUGGGUCCCAUCUCUGGGUCAGGACUGGAAGGUGCCUCCCUCCCCCACCCUGGGGGGCAGGCCAGUGUCAGCACAAAGAAGGCUUAGCCUGGUGGACACAGCAGCAGUCCUCAGGCAGGUCCAGAACCAGCCAUGUAGGAGAGGGGCUUGAUCAGGCCCUGCCCUGGCUGACAGAACUCGUUCUCACCAACAACAGUCUUGUGGAGCUGGGCGAUCUGGACCCCUUGGCAUCUCUCAGGUCACUGACUUACCAAAGGUACCGGGCUCGCUCGUGGUGGAAACAUGGAAGCCCUUCGACAUGACACCCUUCCGGCCUUGACCUUAGAGCCUCCAGUUCAUAAAAAUCUUCUGAGAAAUCCCGUAACAAAUAAGAAGCAUUACAGACUGUGUGUAAUUUAUAAAGCCCCACAAGUCAGAGGAUGGAUUUCCAGAAGGUGAAACUAAAAGUUCGAUCCAGGUGCCAGUUUGCUGACUGACAAAAAGAAAGGAGGCCCGUCCCCGGGGGAUGUGGAAGCGAUCAAGGCCCCACCGAUGAUGGCGAAGAGGAGAUGGAAGGGGACACAGUCACAAACGGGUCCUGAGCAGUGAGGCCUGGGUAUCCACAGGCCAUGCAGGAUCGGCCUGGGAUAAAUCCUGCGUUUUGAAUGUGGAACAGUAGCCUCGUUUGUGUCGGCAAAGAGUCCCCGAGCAUUGUUGAAAUGCCGCAAGCUGCUGCGGGUCAUUUCUUAAUAUACAAUUGGAAAUUCAGAUGCCUGUUUUCUACAAAGAGUAACAAUAAAGGACACUCUCUG